RNAcentral lists this ribosomal RNA (301 nucleotides) under uncultured bacterium. RNAcentral's name for it is "partial 16S ribosomal RNA". It matches the Rfam family "Bacterial small subunit ribosomal RNA", at positions 509 to 807 of the family's 1533-position model. The record is from RNAcentral.
CAGCCGCCACGGGAAUACGGAGGGGGCUAGCGUUGCUCGGAAUUACUGGGCGUAAAGCGCACGUAGGCGGCUUUGUAAGUUAGAGGUGAAAGCCCGGAGCUCAACUCCGGAAUUGCCUUUAAGACUGCAGAGCUAGCAGGUGAGAGAGGUGAGUGGAAUUCCGAGUGUAGAGGUGAAAUUCGUAGAUAUUCGGAAGAACACCAGUGGCGAAGGCGGCUCACUGGCUCAUACUGGACGCUGAGGUGCGAAAGCGUGGGGAGCAAACAGGAUUAGAUACCCCCGUAGUCCCUGUCUCUUAUAC